Long non-coding RNA from Macadamia integrifolia, 1903 nucleotides. RefSeq lists it as uncharacterized. The transcript has 2 exons. The record is from RefSeq and is a predicted model, not a curated record. Lineage: Eukaryota; Viridiplantae; Streptophyta; Magnoliopsida; Proteales; Proteaceae.
UUACCAUUGAGGCCCAAUCAAUUACUAUUACACAUAAGAAAUCCAUUACAUUACUGACAAUAAUACAAUUAGAUCCGCUCUUCAUAGACAAACUUGGGAUAUGCAAUCACGGCAGGAAGAGGCAAUUGUCAUUUGAAAGGAAACAUCCCCACCUCAGAAGGGCGCCCCCCUUAUUUUAGUAGGCUCCCGCCUUCUUCUGGUACAAAGUUCUUUCUCCAAAUGUCCCAAGAAUGAAUGCUGCAUGGACAUCUUUAAUUGUUUGUUCAGCAAGAUUCCACAUGUCAAAAAACCUAAACCCAUGAUUUCACCUUGAAUAAAAUGUUUGUGUAUUCAUAUAUGAGGCUACACAUUAAUAACCUGCGCCCUUCUUCUCCGCUUCUCUUCCCAUCGCUUGUUGAAAACCUAAUCGAGGGAGAUUGCAGUGGCGGGAGGGUGAUUGCAGCGCGCAGGAGGGCAACAUCUCCCUUAUUCUUCUCCUCAGUUCGGACAGUGACUCUAUUCUUCUCUUGACUAGGUCAACUGUGGCUAAGCUCUCUUAAACUUACGUGUCCCCUGGGUAUGAAUCUUGAACUGGAACAGAGAGGAGAUGAUGCAGGAAAGCCUUUCGGAUGGGCAAAGGCAGGGCUGUAUUUAGCCCUAAGGUUGGGUUUAUUCAAGCCAUCGAACCAGCCUGUUUCAAGCCUGGCUAUUUCUGCCAAGAGUGCAUAUCGAGCCAGAAGGGAGUUUUGGGAUAUUGAGCUCAUAUUCUGUCCUGAUCGACCAGCAUUAUUUGGGAAAAAAUAAUAGUCAUUGCCAGCUGGUUUUUAGGAGAAUAUUUCCAGAUUUAUUUGGAGAUAUCGUCCAGCUCUAAAGGAGAAUGUUUUUCUAGAAUCCCAAUGAGCCCAUGGCCUGGUGUAUGGAGACAUAUUUGAAGGCCCAUAUACUUGUGCGUGGAGGUUUCUUUCCAAGGCAUAUUGAGCUGUCAAGUUGAUAUGGUUUAGGAGAGAUUUUAGUAUUUUAUUCAGUUACCUAAUUUAGAAGGAAAUUCAGGAUUCAGUUUUUGUUCCUUGUGUGCGGGUUUGUUGAUUUUUUUUUUUUUUUAUUAAUUAUAUUGCUUAUGUAAUUAGGACUCUUUAUUUAGAUUGGAUUUACAUUGGAAUGUUUCUAGAAGAUUUUAGGUUGUAAAUGAUUGAUUAUAAAUAAGGAGGGGGAUGAUAUUCAGCCAUGAUGGAUUUUGAAUAAAGAAGAAAAGCUUGUGCUUUGUGUGCUGUGAGAGAGUUUGGUGAGAUGUCAUUGUUGAGAGACCAAACAAAUGGUGAGAGGCCAUGGUUGACAGACCUGGGUCUGAGAGAGACUACCCUAUCCCCUUUCCCUAUUACCUAUCUUCUUCUUCCCCUUCUCUAUUUCUGUUGAAGACUGUUCAAGGAAGUGAUUUAAUUGCUGGACAUCAGUGUAUCGAUCCUCCUGUAGAGUUGGUUCUUAGCUGAACUAGCUCCUACAUUAAGAGAAGAGGCAGAGAAUAGAGGACCCUCUAACACCAACCCACUUCUGUGGCACUGUUUUGCAUUUCUGCAAACAAUAACGUAUGUGUUCUAAUUUUUGGGUUUUUUUCUUUCUCCUGUUGAUCGAUUGGGUUUGGUUUGAUGCCCAACGUAAUUGUUGGGUUUGCUAUUAUGAAUGUUUCUCAUCAGAUUUGAAGCCGUAGGAUGGACUUAGUUUCAAUAUCUUAUAUCUUAUAUUGGAAUUUUAGUAGUUAUGAGGGAUAUUUAAGCGACUCCUAUUCAGAUUUGUUGUAAGAGUGGGGUUUUCUAUUUCUGUAGAUCAGUGCUAUUGCAGACCUUUUAUAGAAAACAAUAUUUUCGUUUGAAUCUUCUUUGAAUCUACGACCUAGCUUGUUUGAACUUACUUAAAGGAGGAUUUAUCA